RNAcentral lists this long non-coding RNA (1485 nucleotides) under Mus musculus (house mouse). RNAcentral's name for it is "lincRNA-EC203". Lineage: Eukaryota; Metazoa; Chordata; Mammalia; Rodentia; Muridae. The record is from RNAcentral.
ACUCGUUCGGGAUUCAGGCUGUAUAUGAGUUAGUGAGGACUGAAGAGAGGAGAGUUAAACAAACAAGCAAACAAACAAACACACAGGGCAAGAAAACAGGACCCAACAGCAGACGCUGACACCCUCCCGACCUGCAGUGCAGAGUGAUUCCAAGAACCGCGCGCGACAUUCCGUGUCUCAGGAAAGAUGGUACCCACACUAAGCUCAGCCAAGAACGGCCUCCGCGCCCGCUUAAUUUUCCGAACCUGUUCUUGUGGUGCUGAUGGGGAGGGUGGCCGGGAAGAGAGGAGAGACCACUGAUCAAGUUGCUGUUUGUAUAUUGGUUGAUUGCUGUUUGCUGUUUGUUUAUUGAUUGAUUUUUUUUUAUUGGCCCCUGGCCGAGGAUGAGCUAAGAAGCCUUUUGCAUACCUUGACCUGACCUCACUUAUCCUUCCACACUUCUACACCCUUUUCCUUCCUGCGCAGGGUCCUGAGCAGGUCUAAAUCAAGCAGUGCUUAGAGCCUCCCACAACGGGCCUUCAACCAUAUUUGGAAGAAAAGAAGGAAUCCAGAGAGGAAAUGGUUACCUGUGCUUACAGGCGGUCUGCACCACAAGCGCUGACUCAGCAAGAGGGAACUCUGCGUACCCCUGUCCCGAAAGCCCCUUGAGCAAGGACGUCAGAAAGAGACUAAAAUGGAGGGACAGCCUCCGAGGGCCCUGGAGCAGGGUAACAUGAGAUCUAUGACUAUCUAGUCAUUCGCUACCUGCAUUUGAAAGCAUAUGCAUUAUUAUGGUUGUCACCAUUUAUAGUAGUAUACUUAGACGUUGUCCAUCGAAUCUGGACGCAUACUCAAUUUGAAACUAAAUAAAACCUAAAGGAACAUAGGUGACCAUGAGGGACUCCAGGGAACAUUCUCUGGGACGGAACUCUGUGAAGAGUGGAGAAGAGGCCUCUAGGAUCAAGCUAUUCAUCAUGGAUACAGCCUCAGAUCCAGGACCUCCACCCUCUGGUGCAGUAUUUCCAGGAUAUUAGUGGGGGACUGUGGACCAUUCAAGCCUUGGAACAAGUCUAGCCCAACCACUGUCUAACUUUGCUGCUGACGGAAGCCUGACCCAGCCCUGACCUCGUAGACCUUAUAGGAAUAUGUUCUCAGCUCACUGCUCCACAUUUCUGGCCCUGUGACCUCACCAAACAAACACCUGCCUAUCUCAGAGCAUUGUAUCUAUUCAUGUUGAUUUCUGUCUCUUCCUUAUUAGUCUCUUGCACAAACCAUGAACUGGAUGAAAGCAAGAACGGGAUCGUUUGGGUUCUGUGGGUGACAUCAGGACUUGACUGUGGACUUGACUUGCAUCUGGCACAGCCUGCUCGCCAGCUCCUAUUCCCUUGCCCACCUGUUCUUUGACCUUGAACGCCCAACCCCUUUUUCUUGGCAUCAGUAUCGUCCUCUCUAAGAGCAGAGAUUAGGAUUAAUAAAUCUAUGACGUGCUUGUCACAGGGACUAAUG